UAGUAGUAGCCCCUGUACCUUGACUUGCGUGGGAUUUGUGGAUAUUGUCUGUUGUCUGUUGUUGCUAUUACUGUGGUCGUUUCUUGCACUGCUUUGGAUUGGGUUAUCGGCUGGGAAUCUGUAUAGUUUUGUUUCGGGAGUAUUUCUUUGAAUUUGUGUGAGCCUUGUAUUUCCUUGCUGCUGCUUUGAUACUAUCACCGUGUAUAUCUGUGUAUCUUUAUAUUUUUUCAUACUUUCGUGUAGUUGUGGCUGUGGGCGGU
This 260-nucleotide long non-coding RNA is filed under the name Capsicum annuum. RNAcentral describes it as "long non-coding RNA (CANN_LNC001982)". Lineage: Eukaryota; Viridiplantae; Streptophyta; Magnoliopsida; Solanales; Solanaceae. The record is from RNAcentral.